CCACAUACAGUAUCUGUGUAAUAUGUUUGUGUGGACAUGCGUGUGGGUAUGGAAGAGAAAGAAAAAUAUAGUAUUUUUCUGUUCCUCUUUGUGUAGUUUUGAGAAGCUCUUUGUGUGUAGACGUGGUGUGUGUCUGAGAGAGAAGGCAUGUGUGUGAGAGAGAGAAUAUACUGUAAAGGGCCACAUAAAUCAUUCAGAACAUUAUGUGCUGUGCGAUGAGGGCGGUGCAGGAGCUAAGCUAUGUGCUUUACUGUAAGUUAGAGUGCAAGUGCAUGGCAUACUAUACAGUACACACCACAUUACCAUUUAGUGUGUUCUCUGAGAGAGAGGGGUGCAUGCUAUACGUUCAUACUAGCCGGGAGGGGGAGGGGGGUACUGUAUGUGUGGCAGUAACCAGCACCUGGAGACAGAGGGAGAUGGACGGAGGUUGAGAACGAUGGGGAUUCAUAGAGUAGGAUGAUAGAUGGACGGAGGUUGAGAACGAUGGGGAUGCAUAGAGUAGGAUGAUAGAUGGACGGAGGUUGAGAACGAUGGGGAUGCAUAGAGUAGGAUGAUAGAUGGACGGCGGUUGAGAACGAUGGGGAUGCAUAGAGUAGGAUGAUAGAUGGACGGAGGUUGAGAACGAUGGGGAUGCAUUGGAGUAGGAUGAUAGAUGGACGGCGGUUGAGAACAAUGGGGAUGCAAAGAGUAGGAUGAUAGAUGGAUGCGGAGGAAUGUUUCUGCCAUAAAGUGCCCAACCUUCCACAUACUCCUGAUGUGGAAGUCAUCUGUUUGAAUACAACGCCCCUUCAACAACAAUAUGAGCUACCACACCAACCCUUCCACAUGCGUGCGCAGAUAUGAUCAACGUUAUAAAAUAGACUGCCAGCCAUUUGCGUGGUGCAAGUGAUUUAGCCUAUAGAUUGAACAGAUGGACGGACAUACAGACAUGUACUGUAGACAGACAGUGUUUGUGCAGUAUGUUUCCAGUGGAGACUAGCUGACUUGCUGUUCACUGUUGCUGCUGUUGCAUAUGGGGACUGGAGCUGGGAGAGAGCAGGGCAUUGUGGGAGUAGUCUGGUUCUAGUUGGUUGGCUCUGGCUCCAGCAGGCAGCCAUGGCCCAGCCACGCUCUGACAGCAGAAAGAGAGAGAGGGAAGGAGAAAGAGAGGGCCUGUAAUUAGCACCAGGGUCUGUCUUCCGCAUUCCACAUCUGUAACUUACAGAGUGUAGUGGACUGCCUGCCUGCCUGCCUACCUGCUUGCAUGUCUGUCUGCUGAGCCGACAGAGCGUCCAGCUCCCUGCCACAAUACCUUGUCUUCCCUUCCCUCCACUGGCUGAGCAUAUCCAGACCCUCUCUCUCUCUCUAUGCCCCCCUCUCUCUCUCUCUCUCUCUCUCUAUGCCUCUCUCUCUCUCUCUAUGCCUCUCUCUCUCUCUCUAUGCCCCUCUCUCUCUAUGCCUCUCUCUCUCUCUCUCUCUCUCUCUCUCUCUCUCUCUCUCUCUCUCUAUGCCUCUCUCUCUCCCUCUCUCUCUGCCUCUCCCUCUCAGUUCAAUUUAAGGGACUUAAUUGGCAUAGGAAAUGUCUCUCUCUCUCUCGCUCUCUCUCUCUCUGCGUGUGUGUUCGUCUUGCUAUAUCCAUUUGUGACUCCUUCUCUGUGAGCACGAGAUUUCUCUCAAUGCUUCCAGCAUUUCCCUCUUCUCAUUCUCUUCUCUCUACCCUCUCUUCCUGUCUCCAUCUCUGC
Molecule: long non-coding RNA, 1721 nt
Organism: Oncorhynchus tshawytscha (Chinook salmon)
Lineage: Eukaryota; Metazoa; Chordata; Actinopteri; Salmoniformes; Salmonidae
Source: Ensembl